This is a long non-coding RNA of Cervus elaphus (red deer), 851 nucleotides long. RefSeq lists it as uncharacterized. Lineage: Eukaryota; Metazoa; Chordata; Mammalia; Artiodactyla; Cervidae. The transcript is spliced from 6 exons. The record is from RefSeq and is a predicted model, not a curated record.
GCCUGUGGCCCCGGCCCGCCCGUGGUCAGUUUUGAUGUGGGCCUGGGGGUCCUGCUCGGAGCGGGCUCCGCCCGGGGCCGCUCGUCCUGACAGAAAACGUUAACAAGCGCGCGCACUGCGCGCGGGCGUCUCCUGCAGCGAUCCUGACCCGAGGCCACGGAUUCCGUAGUGAGUUUACGGCUUCAUAGCAUGGUUUUAAUUUAGUCACCUCAAAGAUUUGCGUUCCUCAGACUUGCAAGCCGCCCGCCCGCUCCCCUCCCCGGAGCGCCCCGUCGCCGCCCCCCGCCCCCGGAGGAAGUUUCUCUUGUAAAGAGCGCGGCGGCCACUGGGGAAGCUGAGCAGCAAAGGCAGAGCGCGAGAGGCAGAGAUGAAAUGGAGAGAAACCUGUUCAGUCGGAAGCCAGGGUGUUUCCUUUUUCAUGAGUGUUUUCAGGCAUGUGUGAUCUUAGCUCCUCCACCAGGGAUCAAACUCCUGCCCUCUGCAGUGGAAGCUCAGAGUCCUAACCACUGGAGCACCAGGUGUCCAGUGUAAUAAUUUGGUAUUUGCCCGUACUAUGAAAUGAUUAUCACAGUAAGUCUAGCUAAGACGACUGCAGCGUGUCAGGGUGCAUUCUCCAGAACGAUUGAAAAAGCUCUUGGAAGCAACAUGACCAAGGCCUGCCUUCAACCCACAAGCAGGAAAGGCUGUGAGGUCCAGCCCCUGCUUCUCAGAUCAGGUCUGCACAUCCCUCUGCAGACAGCAAGGGGAUACAGACAGGAGCGUCUGGGAAGAGGAUGAAUCUGAAGCCUUUUCUGGAGUGGCAGCUUUACUUGAGGGAGGGAGAGAGGGAGAGUCAAUGACAUUAAAGUAAA